This 497-nucleotide ribosomal RNA is filed under the name uncultured bacterium. RNAcentral describes it as "partial 16S ribosomal RNA". It matches the Rfam family "Bacterial small subunit ribosomal RNA", at positions 28 to 507 of the family's 1533-position model. The record is from RNAcentral.
GACGAACGCUGGCGGCGUGCCUAAUACAUGCAAGUAGAACGCUGAAGAGAGGAGCUUGCUCUUCUUGGAUGAGUUGCGAACGGGUGAGUAACGCGUAGGUAACCUGCCUUGUAGCGGGGGAUAACUAUUGGAAACGAUAGCUAAUACCGCAUAACAAUGGAUGACACAUGUCAUUUAUUUGAAAGGGGCAAUUGCUCCACUACAAGAUGGACCUGCGUUGUAUUAGCUAGUAGGUGAGGUAAUGGCUCACCUAGGCGACGAUACAUAGCCGACCUGAGAGGGUGAUCGGCCACACUGGGACUGAGACACGGCCCAGACUCCUACGGGAGGCAGCAGUAGGGAAUCUUCGGCAAUGGGGGCAACCCUGACCGAGCAACGCCGCGUGAGUGAAGAAGGUUUUCGGAUCGUAAAGCUCUGUUGUAAGUCAAGAACGGGUGUGAGAGUGGAAAGUUCACACUAUGACGGUAGCUUACCAGAAAGGGACGGCUAACUACGUG